GCAGUGGUGGUUCAGUGGUAGAAUUCCCGCCUUUUGUGUGGGAGACCAGAGUUUGAUUCCUAGCGAAUGUA
RNAcentral lists this transfer RNA (71 nucleotides) under Loxodonta africana (African savanna elephant). It matches the Rfam family "tRNA". From Rfam's summary of the family: Transfer RNA (tRNA) molecules are approximately 80 nucleotides in length. Their secondary structure includes four short double-helical elements and three loops (D, anti-codon, and T loops). Further hydrogen bonds mediate the characteristic L-shaped molecular structure. tRNAs have two regions of fundamental functional importance: the anti-codon, which is responsible for specific mRNA codon recognition, and the 3' end, to which the tRNAs corresponding amino acid is attached (by aminoacyl-tRNA synthetases). tRNAs cope with the degeneracy of the genetic code in two manners: having more than one tRNA (with a specific anti-codon) for a particular amino acid; and 'wobble' base-pairing, i.e. permitting non-standard base-pairing at the 3rd anti-codon position. The record is from Rfam by way of RNAcentral. Lineage: Eukaryota; Metazoa; Chordata; Mammalia; Proboscidea; Elephantidae.